UACGGAGGGUGCAAGCGUUAUCCGGAUUCACUGGGUUUAAAGGGUGCGUAGGUGGGUUGGUAAGUCAGUGGUGAAAUCUCCGAGCUUAACUUGGAAACUGCCAUUGAUACUAUCAGUCUUGAAUACCGUGGAGGUCAGCGGAAUAUGUCAUGUAGCGGUGAAAUGCUUAGAUAUGACAUAGAACACCAAUUGCGAAGGCAGCUGGCUACGCAUAUAUUGACACUGAGGCUCGAAAGCGUGGGGAUCAAACAGG
RNAcentral lists this ribosomal RNA (253 nucleotides) under uncultured bacterium. Its description in RNAcentral is "partial 16S ribosomal RNA". It matches the Rfam family "Bacterial small subunit ribosomal RNA", at positions 524 to 776 of the family's 1533-position model. The record is from RNAcentral.